This 450-nucleotide ribosomal RNA is filed under the name uncultured bacterium. Its description in RNAcentral is "partial 16S ribosomal RNA". It matches the Rfam family "Bacterial small subunit ribosomal RNA", at positions 354 to 796 of the family's 1533-position model. The record is from RNAcentral.
GUGGGGAAUUUUGGACAAUGGGCGCAAGCCUGAUCCAGCAAUGCCGCGUGCAGGAAGAAGGCCUUCGGGUUGUAAACUGCUUUUGUACGGAACGAAACGGUCCUGGUUAAUACCUGGGGCUAAUGACGGUACCGUAAGAAUAAGCACCGGCUAACUACGUGCCAGCAGCCGCGGUAAUACGUAGGGUGCGAGCGUUAAUCGGAAUUACUGGGCGUAAAGCGUGCGCAGGCGGUGCUGUAAGACAGGCGUGAAAUCACCGGGCUCAACCUGGGAAUUGCGCUUGUGACUGCAGUGCUGGAGUACGGCAGAGGGGGAUGGAAUUCCGCGUGUAGCAGUGAAAUGCGUAGAUAUGCGGAGGAACACCGAUGGCGAAGGCAGUCCCCUGGGCCUGUACUGACGCUCAUGCACGAAAGCGUGGGGAGCAAACAGGAUUAGAAACCCCGGUAGUCC